Molecule: long non-coding RNA, 1249 nt
Filed under: Marmota monax (woodchuck)
Lineage: Eukaryota; Metazoa; Chordata; Mammalia; Rodentia; Sciuridae
Source: RNAcentral
GUGGUCUCCACCCUGAUCUUCUCGCUUUUCCCUUUUAUUUGGUGAGGACAGCCUGCCAGAGGCUUCACUCUAUUUAUCUAGGUGAGGGGAAAUAACUUGUUUGAGGCCAUACUGGAGGGAUCUGUUGGAUGUACCUGGUGAGACUGCAGGUUUCAAACUGGAGUUUUUAAAAUGGAGUUGCUUAGGCUCAGGCCUAAGGCCAUUCUCACAGUGUGCCAGUUAAAAACAAAAAGAGGUAUAUUGAAAGCAAAAGCACAUUCAAAGAAGAAUGUGAGCUGUCUCAAGGGUGAGAAACUUUGGGAGUAAGGCAAGUGUAGAUAUUCUGACUGUGGAAAUAGAGAAGUGUUCCCCCUGUGAGCAAACUCCCGGGGGGGGGGGGUAACUGGCACCCCUGAUUCCCACCAUUGGAAUGCCUAGCAGUUUCCCCCUGAGGCUCUUAAGAUAACUACGUAGGGUGUACUACCUGGUUUCCAUAGUAACAUCCUUGGGUGUAAGAGGGUCUGUGUUUGUAUUAACCUGGACCUUAUCUCAGUUAGCUAGCACGCAGGGUUAAAGGAACUGAUUAGAGUGUAGUCAGGUGUGAUGGGUAAUAUGUAACUUUUUUUGAGUUAAUAAACUUGGCAGGAGGGAGGGGCAGACACUUCACUUCUAUCCUUCUUCAUGACUUCACUCCACCUCUGUCUGCCCACUUAUCCUGUGUAUCUGUGUCGUUCUUUUGUGCACCUCUUCAAAGGUAGUCUUCCAUAGGUAGUUCCUUUACAGGCAAGGAAAACAGAAACAGGAACCCCUGGUGUGAGAAUUAAUGUUUAUAAAGGGUCAGAAUAUAUUAAUUGGGUUAUCUUCAUGUUAAUAGAUAUUCUUUCUGCAGCAGCAGACUGUAAUCAGUUUCUGUAUUUGUGAAAACCACAAUUGAGAUUUUAUUGUUGCUGAGGAGAACUUCUGUUCUUCAAAAGCACAACUCCUCUAUUAGGUUACCUUGUUGAUGUGCAGAGAUAGCCUACCAAUUGUGUUCAUUUAGAUUAGCAGUUAGCACAAUUAUGAAUGCAUUAUUUGGAGUUACUUUUGGUAGUUGCCUCAAAUGUUAGAAAAUUUAGGAAAAAAUUGCUAUGGACACAUGAAACUUAUAGGAUUGGGACUGUUUUAUUUUCUUAUGUAUAUAUAGAAUUUAUUGAUUUAUUUACAACUCUAAGCUUAGGCAAGUUUUAACAGUCUGUAUAAUCAAUCCUCUUCACAGGUGCUUAUUUGACAG